GACGAACGCUGGCGGCGUGCUUAACACAUGCAAGUCGAACGGAAAGGCCCUGCUUGCCGGGUACUCGCGUGGCGAACGGGUGAGUAACACGUGGGUGAUCUGCCCUGCACUUCGGGAUAAGCCUGGGAAACUGGGUCUAAUACCGGGUAGGAGCCCUUUUGAGUGUGAUGGUUGGAAAGUUUUUUCGGUGUAGGAUGAGCUCGCGGCCUAUCAGCUUGUUUGUGGGGUAAUGGCCUACCAAGGCGGCGGCGGGUAGCCGGCCUGGGAGGGUGGACGGCCACAUUGGGGCUGAGAUACGGCCCAGACUCCUACGGGGGGCAGGAGUGGGGAAUAUUGCACAAAGGGCGCGAGCCUGAUGCAGCGACGCCGCGUGGGGGAUGACGGGCUUCGGGUUGGAAACUCCCUUCGCUAGGGACGAAGCUGUUUGUGACGGUACCUAGAGAAGAAGCACCGGCUAACUACGUG
This 465-nucleotide ribosomal RNA is filed under the name uncultured bacterium. Its description in RNAcentral is "partial 16S ribosomal RNA". It matches the Rfam family "Bacterial small subunit ribosomal RNA", at positions 28 to 507 of the family's 1533-position model. The record is from RNAcentral.